Molecule: long non-coding RNA, 485 nt
Organism: Lolium rigidum
Lineage: Eukaryota; Viridiplantae; Streptophyta; Magnoliopsida; Poales; Poaceae
Exons: 4
Source: RefSeq, a predicted model, not a curated record
CUGCUGGCUGUUCGUGGGUGGACGACAAGACCAGGGCUUCCAAUGCGAUGGCCGCCGCAAGCGACUUGUUGUUCAUGUCUCGGCCUUGACUACGAUAAACCCUCUAUGACUUAGGGUUGUUGGGCCAACCACUUGUAUGUGACUUAUAGAAGCAGAACCCAGCUGCUCGUGCUGUGAAUGGGGAUAUGUAUACUGAUAUCAUACCUGAGAACUCCGUGAUCUUUUGGCAGAGGGGAUCACGUAAAUGUGUUGAUUAUUUGGUUGAAGCGUUUGUGCAGAAGCUGAGCCAAUUAGUGCUACUUUAGCUGCUGUAAAAGCCACUCAAGAUAAUGUAUGAGGUGUUGGAGCAGAUUGGUAAAAGAGCAUUUGGCCCUGCUUUGUUGUGAGGCGCUAGUCUACAAGUACAUCCCCAAUGGCACACUGAAAGAGAUCCUCACAGAUGCAAUUUCUCGCAGACCCAUCAAUCAGGAAAUUCGGGCUUGGUG